This 1349-nucleotide ribosomal RNA is filed under the name uncultured bacterium. RNAcentral's name for it is "partial 16S ribosomal RNA". It matches the Rfam family "Bacterial small subunit ribosomal RNA", at positions 8 to 1353 of the family's 1533-position model. The record is from RNAcentral.
AGAGUUUGAUCCUGGCUCAGAUUGAACGCUGGCGGCAGGCCUAACACAUGCAAGUCGAGCGGAUGAAGGGAGCUUGCUCCUGGAUUCAGCGGCGGACGGGUGAGUAAUGCCUAGGAAUCUGCCUGGUAGUGGGGGAUAACGUCCGGAAACGGGCGCUAAUACCGCAUACGUCCUGAGGGAGAAAGUGGGGGAUCUUCGGACCUCACGCUAUCAGAUGAGCCUAGGUCGGAUUAGCUAGUUGGUGGGGUAAAGGCCUACCAAGGCGACGAUCCGUAACUGGUCUGAGAGGAUGAUCAGUCACACUGGAACUGAGACACGGUCCAGACUCCUACGGGAGGCAGCAGUGGGGAAUAUUGGACAAUGGGCGAAAGCCUGAUCCAGCCAUGCCGCGUGUGUGAAGAAGGUCUUCGGAUUGUAAAGCACUUUAAGUUGGGAGGAAGGGCAGUAAGUUAAUACCUUGCUGUUUUGACGUUACCAACAGAAUAAGCACCGGCUAACUUCGUGCCAGCAGCCGCGGUAAUACGAAGGGUGCAAGCGUUAAUCGGAAUUACUGGGCGUAAAGCGCGCGUAGGUGGUUCAGCAAGUUGGAUGUGAAAUCCCCGGGCUCAACCUGGGAACUGCAUCCAAAACUACUGAGCUAGAGUACGGUAGAGGGUGGUGGAAUUUCCUGUGUAGCGGUGAAAUGCGUAGAUAUAGGAAGGAACACCAGUGGCGAAGGCGACCACCUGGACUGAUACUGACACUGAGGUGCGAAAGCGUGGGGAGCAAACAAGAUUAGAUACCCUGGUAGUCCACGCCGUAAACGAUGUCGACUAGCCGUUGGGAUCCUUGAGAUCUUAGUGGCGCAGCUAACGCGAUAAGUCGACCGCCUGGGGAGUACGGCCGCAAGGUUAAAACUCAAAUGAAUUGACGGGGGCCCGCACAACCGGUGGAGCAUGUGGUUUAAUUCGAAGCAACGCGAAGAACCUUACCUGGCCCCGACAUGCUGAGAACUUUCCAGAGAUGGAUUGGUGCCUUCGGGAACUCAGACACAGGUGCUGCAUGGCUGUCGUCAGCUCGUGUCGUGAGAUGUUGGGUUAAGUCCCGUAACGAGCGCAACCCCCGUCCUUAGUUACCAGCACCUCGGGUGGGCACUCUAAGGAGACUGCCGGUGACAAACCGGAGGAAGGUGGGGAGGACGUCAAGUCAUCAUGGCCCCUCCGGCCAGGGCUACACACGUGCUACAAUGGUCGGUACAAAGGGUUGCCAAGCCGCGAGGUGGAGCUAAUCCCAUAAAACCGAUCGUAGUCCGGAUCGCAGUCUGCAACUCGACUGCGUGAAGUCGGAAUCGCUAGUAAUCGUGAAUCAGA